RNAcentral lists this long non-coding RNA (210 nucleotides) under Elaeis guineensis (African oil palm). RNAcentral describes it as "long non-coding RNA (EGUI_LNC045425)". The record is from RNAcentral. Lineage: Eukaryota; Viridiplantae; Streptophyta; Magnoliopsida; Arecales; Arecaceae.
GAUCUAUACUAUUGAGAGAUAUGGUGGAGAGGAUCCUUACUGAUUGCUCACAGUUGCACAUGCAUCUUGUCUCUAUGAAAAAUUCACUCAAAGCUCUGAUCUGAUCGAUCUUCUCGGAAGUGCUAGCUCACGCGAAGACCUUCUUCUUGACUGAUCUGGAUCCUUUCUUCAAAUCUCUAAAAUCUUUACAGAGAUUGAAGAUAUACUUAU